This 29-nucleotide non-coding RNA is filed under the name Homo sapiens (human). Lineage: Eukaryota; Metazoa; Chordata; Mammalia; Primates; Hominidae. The record is from RNAcentral.
GCCCUAGACGUGGAUGAAGUCCUGCCGUG